Non-coding RNA from Canis lupus familiaris (dog), 104 nucleotides. The record is from Rfam. NCBI's taxonomy places the organism in Eukaryota, Metazoa, Chordata, Mammalia, Carnivora, Canidae.
GCACUCACUUCAGCAGUACAGAUACUAAAAUUGGAAUGAUACAGAGAUUAGCAUGGCCCCUGCACAAGGAUGGCACACAAAUCCAUGAAGCAUUCCUAAAUAAA